AGAGUUUGAUCCUGGCUCAGAUUGAACGCUGGCGGCAGGCUUAACACAUGCAAGUCGAACGGUAACAGGAGAAAGCUUGCUUUCUUGCUGACGAGUGGCGGACGGGUGAGUAAUGCUUGGGAAUCUGGCUUAUGGAGGGGGAUAACUACGGGAAACUGUAGCUAAUACCGCGUAAUAUCUUCGGAUUAAAGGGUGGGACUUUCGGGCCACCUGCCAUAAGAUGAGCCCAAGUGGGAUUAGGUAGUUGGUGGGGUAAAGGCCUACCAAGCCGACGAUCUCUAGCUGGUCUGAGAGGAUGACCAGCCACACUGGAACUGAGACACGGUCCAGACUCCUACGGGAGGCAGCAGUGGGGAAUAUUGCACAAUGGGGGGAACCCUGAUGCAGCCAUGCCGCGUGAAUGAAGAAGGCCUUCGGGCUGUAAAGUUCUUUCGGUGAUGAGGAAGGUGUUUGUUUUAAUAGAACAAGCAAUUGACGUUAGUCACAGAAGAAGCACCGGCUAACUCCGUGCCAGCAGCCGCGGUAAUACGGAGGGUGCGAGCGUUAAUCGGAAUGACUGGGCGUAAAGGGCACGCAGGCGGUGACUUAAGUGAGAUGUGAAAGCCCCGAGCUUAACUUGGGAAUUGCAUUUCAUACUGGGUCGCUAGAGUAUUUUAGGGAGGGGUAGAAUUCCACGUGUAGCGGUGAAAUGCGUAGAGAUGUGGAGGAAUACCGAAGGCGAAGGCAGCCCCUUGGGAAUAUACUGACGCUCAUGUGCGAAAGCGUGGGGAGCAAACAGGAUUAGAUACCCUGGUAGUCCACGCUGUAAACGCUGUCGAUUUGGGGAUUGGGCUUAGAGCUUGGUGCCCGUAGCU
Molecule: ribosomal RNA, 854 nt
Filed under: uncultured bacterium
Lineage: Bacteria
Description: bacterial SSU rRNA
Rfam family: Bacterial small subunit ribosomal RNA
Source: RNAcentral